UUUGGCAUCACACAGGGGAAGCUCUUGCCCCUCCAUUCUCUGGAUUUGAAGAUGUCCAUUGGAGCCUGCAGUGCCUGGACAGGGUUCAGAGCGGAACCUUUUGAAGAGUGUCAAUAGUUGUAACAGUUCAGCUGUUAGGAAGACAAAUAAAUGGAGGAGCUCAUUAAUCCGCUUUUGGCUCUCAGUGCCUUUUGCCCUUUUAUCACAGCCUUAUUAGGCUCCUACUCAUCUUGAACCAGAAAAAAAUGAAUUGAAGUUGUUGAGUACUAAUUGGCAAAGACUUUUAAUCAUGGGCCAAGAACUUUCACUGACUUGAAAGUAACUUCUCCACAGGGAAGGACCAAAAACCUGGUUUACCUUAAAACAAAAACCUGUUGGAGUUCAGCGUGGUGUAAAAAUGUAAGGAAGCGUUGAUAAAUUGUCUAAGUUUAUCCAUUUGAAAGAAAUUGUGUAAGAUUAUGAUAUUCUCUUUUCUUUUAAAAAAAAAAAAAAGUACAAUAAAAUUCAAACAUUCCUUAGGAAAGCAUUGUCUAUUGGUUUAGAAAAGAGAUUGCACACAUGCGUGGUGGUCGUGUUUGUUUCUGAACAUCUAUACACAGGUAUGUGAAUAUUCAUCUCUGCAUCUACAUACGCAUGUGGUGUUUGAGGAACCUUAUUAAAAGUGAUAUUUCCUAUUAGUAGCCUUAAAAAUGGCAAAUGAAGACCUCUUUUUGAGACUCUCUGCUUUUAAAAUUUUUUUAAAUAUGUGUCUGUACUAUAGAGAUGUGUAUGGCUGAAUGUGCUUUGUGUAUAAUUAUUGUCAAAUGGUACAUAGAUUAUUUUGUAUGUGUGCAACAGUGACUUUGGGCCACUCUGUCUUUGAGAAACCAAUGAUAUGAUGGCCCGGAGUAGAUAGGAUCAUAAUGAUUUAAGUUUCUAAAAACCACUGGGUAAAUGAAAAACUAGUAAACUGAGCUGAGAUUUAGGGAUGUUGGGCUUCAUUCCCAGAUCAACUACUUUGGAGAAUCCUUUCCUUUCUAUUAGAUGAGGUUAAACAAGUUGCUUUCUUUUUCUUUCUCUUACUUUCCUUGGCUAGUGUACAGACACCAUAAAAUCUGAUAAAAGGGGUUUCCUGUAGUCUGACCCCCAACAUUGAGGAGACUGUAAUGGAGGUGACUUCUCAUGCAAGAUUUGGCCAGCGUUCUAGCAGUGUCCCGGGAGUGCCAUGGUUUGGCAGGACGACAGGAACCCCACAAGGCCAACUUCUGCCUGGACUUCAGCCUGAGGAGCCAGUGGGAGCCAGUGAAACUGUCUGCCUCUCCACAUGCAUCAGGGCCCUGCCACCCUGGCACCAUGGCUGGCACGCACCAGAGGGCAAGGGAGAAGCGGAUGGUGGCUCCCGUGUUAUCUGACUAACCACUGGGUGGGCUACACUCCCUGUGCCCCUGCUGUUGCCUCUGAUAGGAGUAUGCUUGGUUCUUGGUAUUGACUUGCCUUUUUUUGUUGCCUUUUAAAAGGACCCAUUUUGUUCAAUGCUUCUGUUCUAUUACUGAAAAUGUAGCCAAAAUAGAAGGGAAUCAAUUACUAGUGUAUUAUUUUGAAAGCUUCAAACAGAAAUUGUGAAAUGUUAUUUCUGCUCAUAUUCUUAGUGUUUUCUCUUGGUAGGAUCAUAAUAUUUAGCCUUUAUGAUAUUUAAAACCCAUUUGGAGUGUUAGGUUUAUUUUUAUGAUACUCUGCUGGUAACUUUAAGUCAUCAGGCUAGGGUAUGAAGAGUAGUUUUUUAAGUUUAUGUUUUAAAAGUGAAAUAUUGUGAAUCUUUAAUCAUAGUUCUCAUCAAUAUCCCUCAGAAUUUUUAAAUGUUAAUGCUUUAAUAUUUAGGAAAAAUUUUAUACCAAAGGUUGAAAAAAAAAUAGAAUCCUGUUACUCCCGACUUCUGGUGUGUUUUAUAAGUGCAUCAACACAGGAUAUUACUUAAAAUUCUGUUCUAACUGGCUUCAAGUCUUAUGGUUAGUUGAAGAAAACAACUUCAACCCAGUAAGAGAUUCACAUUUUGUUGUGAAUGCAAAACCAUUCUAAUGCUGAUACUCACAAACAAACAAGUAAUGUUUCCAGGGAUUCUGGGAACAUCUAAAGGCCAAGAUCUUGGCACAGCAUUACAGAGCAAACAAGGAGCUAAAGCUUUAGCAGUGAUCAUAUUCAAUGAAGACAUCAUUGUCAGCACCCUCUAAAGGUCUGUUUGAUUUGGAUCAGCACAGACAGUAUUUUUAAAACAGCCCCAGGAAUAGUACAGUGUGCUUACCCAGCUAUAGAAAAUUAAACAGGAAUAUAUCCUGAAAAGGGGGUUUUUCAGGAAAAAAAAAAUUCUGAUUGCUCUUCAACAAUGUAACAUACAUUUGAUGGAAAUUGUAUGUACUGGAAAGAUUAGCUCAUGCCAUAUUGGAAAACAAAAAAAAAGGUGGUGAUGCCACAUGGGAAGGACAAGUAGCAUUUCCAACACUGUACAUGUGAAGCCAACAAUUAUUGGCUUGAAAGUGGAGUUCUCUGACUCUUUGCUGCAGAUCCAAAGUUAGGUGUGAGGGUUAAUUUUCAAUACAGACAUUGCGAUGAUAUUAAAAAGUUGAGUUGACAAGGUUGAGAAAGUUACAAGAUAAAGGUCAAGACACAAAGGCACAAUUAUGGGGCCAUACUCCUAUCCCAGUGAUCCAACCUCACAGAGCAACUGCAGAGUUGCAAGUCUUCUGGUACAUAGUUGCCAUUAGAUGAGGAUAAGUGUAAUAAAAGAUAAAUAGAAAUAAGCCAAAUCUAAGGUUUAACCAUUUCAAAACUUUAGCGUAUAAGAAGUAUGGGGUGAAGUACAAUAGAUGGAAAUGGCAUAAAAUUUUUUAAACAUUAAGUUCAUUGUUUAAUAAACAUUGCAAAC
Molecule: long non-coding RNA, 2899 nt
Filed under: Pongo abelii (Sumatran orangutan)
Lineage: Eukaryota; Metazoa; Chordata; Mammalia; Primates; Hominidae
Description: lncRNA (ENSPPYG00000005845.3)
Source: RNAcentral